GAUCAAGAAGGUAAGUUUAUUUCUAGAAACACCGCCUCAUAAAGUGCAAAGUGCAACAUUUCGACUCAACAGAUUAAGGCUCUGUUGAACCGACACUUUGCACUUUAUGAGGUGGUGUUUCCAGAAAUAAACUUACCUUAUUGAUCCUGGAGU
Molecule: non-coding RNA, 153 nt
Organism: Pelobates cultripes (western spadefoot toad)
Lineage: Eukaryota; Metazoa; Chordata; Amphibia; Anura; Pelobatidae
Source: the annotation of a GenBank genome assembly